ACGAAGGGUGCAAGCGUUAGUCGGAAUUACUGGGCGUAAAGCGUGCGUAGGCGGUUUCUUAAGUCCGUUGUGAAAGCCCUGGGCUCAACCUGGGAAUGGCAGUGGAUACUGGGAAGCUAGAGUGUGAUAGAGGAUGGUGGAAUUCCCGGUGUAGCGGUGAAAUGCGUAGAGAUCGGGAGGAACAUCAGUGGCGAAGGCGGCCAUCUGGAUCAACACUGACGCUGAGGCACGAAAGCGUGGGGAGCAAACAGGAUUAGAAACCCUAGUAGUCC
This 272-nucleotide ribosomal RNA is filed under the name uncultured bacterium. RNAcentral's name for it is "partial 16S ribosomal RNA". It matches the Rfam family "Bacterial small subunit ribosomal RNA", at positions 525 to 796 of the family's 1533-position model. The record is from RNAcentral.